GACGAACGCUGGCGGCGUGCUUAACACAUGCAAGUCGAACGGAAAGGCCCUGCUUUUUUGGGGUUCUCGAGUGGCGAACGGGUGAGUAACACGUGAGUAACCUGCCCUUGACUUUGUGAUAACUUCAGGAAACUGGUGCUAAUACCGGAUAGGAGCUCCUGCUGCAUGGUGGGGGUUGGAACGUUUCGGCGGUUGGGGAUGGACUCGCGGCUUAUCAGCUUGUUGGUGGGGUAGUGGCUUACCCAGGCUGCGACGGCUAGCCGGCGUGAGAGGGUGACCGGCGACAAUGGGACUAAGAGACGGACCAGACUGGUACGGGAGGCAGCAGGGGGGAAUAUUGCACAGUGAGCGGGAGCGUGAGGCAGCGACGCCGCGUGCGUAAUGACGGCCUUCGGGUUGUAAACCGCAGUAGCCUGUGACGAAGCGUGAGUGACGGUAAUGGGUAAAGAAGCACCGGCUAACUACGUG
RNAcentral lists this ribosomal RNA (468 nucleotides) under uncultured bacterium. Its description in RNAcentral is "partial 16S ribosomal RNA". It matches the Rfam family "Bacterial small subunit ribosomal RNA", at positions 28 to 507 of the family's 1533-position model. The record is from RNAcentral.